UACGUAGGGGGCAAGCGUUGUCCGGAAUCAUUGGGCGUAAAGCGCGUGUAGGCGGCUUGGUAAGUCCGCUCUGAAAGCCCGGGGCUCAACCCCGGGAGGCGGGUGGAUACUGUCAAGCUGAGUCCGGAAGAGGCGAGUGGAAUUCCGUGGUGUAGCGGUGAAAUGCGCAGAUAUCAAGGAGGAACACCGUGGCGAAGGCGGCAUCCAUGGCCCGAAUGAUCUGCGCUGGAGGACGAAAGCGUGGGGAGCAAACCAGGG
Molecule: ribosomal RNA, 258 nt
Filed under: uncultured bacterium
Lineage: Bacteria
Description: partial 16S ribosomal RNA
Rfam family: Bacterial small subunit ribosomal RNA
Source: RNAcentral